Molecule: long non-coding RNA, 422 nt
Filed under: Elaeis guineensis (African oil palm)
Lineage: Eukaryota; Viridiplantae; Streptophyta; Magnoliopsida; Arecales; Arecaceae
Description: long non-coding RNA (EGUI_LNC058934)
Source: RNAcentral
GCACCACAUGUUAUAGCAGAAAGACAGAAAAAGACAAACAAACCCAUAAGAUGUAUGUGGUUUGGCCCAAGUACCUACAUCCACAGGACAUGCAAUGCUCCACUCACGAGAGAGAACAAAAUACAGAGGAGAUACUCUCAACUCUCAAAUCUCUCUCACAACCCAGAAGCACUCACCCAUACAAUGCUCUCAAAGAAUCCUAAGAAGGUUCUCUCACAGAUCUGCCAGUCUAGAGUUCUCAACACCUCUGGAUAUCCUAUGAUACUCUCAGUCGCUAUAUCAUACCCCAGCCUAUCCCUAGGCAACCCCACCAUUCCAGGACACUCUCGGCUGUAUGAUGCCCCUAGCGCUCCCUGAGACCCUUGGCUCUCCCUAAGAUCUGCUCUUGAUCUCCUUGAGAUGGCUUUGGCACUCCCAGCCUG